RNAcentral lists this ribosomal RNA (99 nucleotides) under uncultured bacterium. RNAcentral describes it as "partial 16S ribosomal RNA". It matches the Rfam family "Bacterial small subunit ribosomal RNA", at positions 255 to 354 of the family's 1533-position model. The record is from RNAcentral.
AGGUACGGCCCACCAAGGCGACGAUCGGUAGCCGGCCUGAGAGGGCGGACGGCCACAUUGGGACUGAGACACGGCCCAGACUCCUACGGAAGGCAGCAG